GUGCUCACUUUGGCAGCACAACUACUAACAUUGGAACAAUACACAGAGGAUCAGCAUGGCCCCUACACAAUGAUGCCAUGCAAGUUCGUAAAGCGUUCAAUGUUUUU
Ictidomys tridecemlineatus (thirteen-lined ground squirrel) is the source of this 107-nucleotide small nuclear RNA. NCBI's taxonomy places the organism in Eukaryota, Metazoa, Chordata, Mammalia, Rodentia, Sciuridae. The record is from Ensembl.